This 587-nucleotide ribosomal RNA is filed under the name uncultured bacterium. RNAcentral describes it as "partial 16S ribosomal RNA". It matches the Rfam family "Bacterial small subunit ribosomal RNA", at positions 355 to 1375 of the family's 1533-position model. The record is from RNAcentral.
UGGGGAAUUUUGGACAAUGGGCGAAAGCCUGAUCCAGCAAUGCCGCGUGUGUGAAGAAGGCCUUCGGGUUGUAAAGCACUUUUGUCCGGAAAGAAAUCCUUGGCUCUAAUACAGUCGGGGGAUGACGGUACCGGAAGAAUAAGCACCGGCUAACUACGUGCCAGCAGCCGCGGUAAUACGUAGGGUGCAAGCGUUAAUCGGAAUUACUGGGCGUAAAGCGUGCGCAGGCGGUUUGCUAAGACCGAUGUGAAAUCCCCGGGCUCAACCUGGGAACUGCAUUGGUGACUGGCAGGCUAGAGUAUGGCAGAGGGGGGUAGAAUUCCACGUGUAGCAGUGAAAUGCGUAGAGAUGUGGAGGAAUACCGAUGGCGAAGGCAGCCCCUGGGCCAAUACUGACGCUCAUGCACGAAAAGCGUGGGGAGCAAAACAGGAUUAGAUACCCUGGUAGUCCACGCCCUAAAACGAUGUCAACUAGUUGUUGGGGAUUCAUUUCCUUAGUAACGUAGCUAACGCGUGAAGUUGACCGCCUGGGGAGUACGGUCGCAAGAUUAAAACUUAAAUGAAUUGACGGGGUCAUAGCUGUUUCCU